UCGAGUUGCAUCUUUUCCGAAUUAGUUUCCUCUUUACAAAACUGUAUCUACUUCGGUGUACUGAUAACGGUAUUGUGGGAUGUGAUGCUGAUUGGUUUGGUACAUCGCUAUCAGUGUUUCGGAGGAACCUGCUGCUUCAAUCGCCAGGGCAUUCGGCUACAAUUCUCACUAUGUUGAUAGCACGCGGAAGAACCGUGGUCACUGCUGUGUGUAGGUGCAUGUCGAAGCUUGAGACACUUCCAUUCGUUCGCCUGCAGAUAGCAGUCCAGAUCUGCAAAGAAUGCUGCCUCACAAUCUGGCGCACAAAUGACGAAGCCACGGGCACAUCGGUAAUACUCCGGAAUUUUAUUCUGGAGGCAUCCGAUUCGAAUCUUGGCCACGUUCGUUCCCCGCCCGAUGGAAAAAUCCGUGACAACUGGAUGUAUUGCAUGAACCCUCAUUAAAGACGUCCAUGUGGCCUUGUUUGAUUACCAU
Cryptotermes secundus is the source of this 474-nucleotide long non-coding RNA. RefSeq lists it as uncharacterized. The transcript is spliced from 3 exons. NCBI's taxonomy places the organism in Eukaryota, Metazoa, Arthropoda, Insecta, Blattodea, Kalotermitidae. The record is from RefSeq and is a predicted model, not a curated record.